Molecule: long non-coding RNA, 873 nt
Organism: Lolium perenne
Lineage: Eukaryota; Viridiplantae; Streptophyta; Magnoliopsida; Poales; Poaceae
Source: RefSeq, a predicted model, not a curated record
CUUCUAAGCUUUUUAGGUUCAUGGCAUGUCCAUCACAAUAGAUGAAUGAAUAUCUUAUACAGCGAGAAACUGCUCUAAAUGAAAGAGGAUUCAAAAUAUUUCUGGACAAUCCCAAGUACCCUGUUGAAUGGAUCUAUUAUGAAGGUUGUAUGUGUUAUUAUAACUAGACAUCUUUCAUCCCCCAUUGUAAAAAUAAGUUGUCAAGGAAGUUGCUGAAUAAUUUGUACAUUGUUUCUUGAAUCAACAUGGAUGCAGCCUGUAUGAUAUGGUUACUUGUGCAGAUUUUUGCUUACCACUUGCAUUUAUAUGAAUCGUUAGUGCAUUGCAUUCUUACAUGGAGGUGCUUGUUCUCAUGCAUGUGAGCUCUUGACCAAUGACUUGCAUGACAUAUCUGAUGAACAUCGGUUUUGUUUCGUGUUCACUACAGAAAGUUUUACCCAAUUACUACUGUUGCCUUCAUAUAUGUACUAACUUUCUGAUGUGUUCUUGAAUUUCUUAUAUUGUUUUCUAUUUCAGGGGCUGGGAGGCUUUAUUUAUCUUGUAACAUUGUCAUUAUUUUUAUUGCUAGGUGCAGAUGAUUCCCGAAGCCAUUAUCAGCAACCAGUUAAACCACUUGCCACUUGGUUAUUACAAACUUUAUCAGAAGCCCACUUGCUGCAUGUAUAAUUCCUUCCCUUUGGAAGCACGAUGUUCACCAUCUAAACAGACCUGGAGUUAGGCUUGUGAAUAAGGGUCUUCCCUAGAAAAUGUGUGGUGUUGAAGAAAGAAAAGAACUUUCCUUAUGGACUCAAGGAUUUUCCCCCUCUCGGCUGCAUCAAAUGCUGGCUUGCUAGGUUUUGUUCUUCCUCUUGGUAGUAUCAUGUAUCCAUUGGA